Conger conger (European conger) is the source of this 1634-nucleotide long non-coding RNA. RefSeq lists it as uncharacterized. The record is from RefSeq and is a predicted model, not a curated record. Lineage: Eukaryota; Metazoa; Chordata; Actinopteri; Anguilliformes; Congridae. The transcript is spliced from 3 exons.
UAAAUAUUAUGUGCUCGUUUGCCCAAGUGCACGGGUCAGGGUGUAGGCCUUGGCUAAAAGACUAAUGGAUGGACGCAGUUAAAUGGGGACCAGCAUUGCCAGAUGUAAGGAUUCUGACGAGAGCCACCUUUCUGCAAGGAAAUGUUUCAGUGGAUCCGAUGGCAACGCCUCGUGAGUCGACACCCUCGUAAACAAACAGUGCAAGCCAAUCGAUGCAGAAUUCUGUGAAGUUCUCACCUCAGCAGCUGAGUUCGGCACCAGGUCAGCCUCCCUCGUUCUCUUCCUCCCACGGCUGCCCCUCCCUCCCUCCAGACAAUCAAUCAGUCUUACAUAUCCAUUCCAGCCUUCACUCCUCCUCCUCCUCCUCCUCCAAUCCCGUUUCCUAAGGCCUCCCAAGAUGUUGAUUGGUGACGGCGGGGCGAGUCUCCAUGGCAACGCAGUGGCGCGGCCGUUUACAGUAAGACGCAGGGGCAGCCGCGGGAGCUGUUGGACUUGCCCGUCUGGCCAGAGGGGAUGGGGGGGCUCUCAGUCUCUUUGAACGUCCUGUUUGGAGAGAGAGAAGACGUUCGUCACCGGCGACGAGGUCUGACCUCCACAGGGUCCAUCUUACACCGGCCAGGCCUCCGAUGCCGGAUAUGUUUUUAUUCCAGUCACGGAACAGUCCUGAGGCAACGCCGAUUUAAAGGAGCGCUGUCAUGCUUUUCUGACUUGAGCUAAUUUGGAUUAAAUGCUUAAAUUAUGUGUGUAGGCAUUUUUUAAAUCACUGUCAGUGUAGCCGUUUCCUAGAUAUGGGGCAAAACUUAUCAAAACAAAAGCGUCCAGUGACAUCACUUAACGUGUUUGGCUUGACUCUCCAGCCCGUGUUUCCCAGAAGGUAACGGGCGCUCAAACUCCACCCUUGAACGCAGAGAUUGGUUUACGGACGGCCACCAAUGCGGGUGAUCACAUGACACUCCCAGGAAAAUUCGGUAAUGUUAGCAUACAGAUAUCAGGGAACCUACCAUGGCUAGCCUUUGCGAUAUGAGGCUCUGACAUCAUUUUGACAUUCUACCAGCUCUAUUGCAGCCAUCGCUAUCGUCAAUAAAUCUGACAGUCCACUGUUGUGUUUUGCUAGCUCACUUUACAUUGGAUGUCAACAGCUAUGAUGUUUUCACUCAUUAGAUUAAGCAACAAUGUUCUGGUUCAGUUGUAACCAGCUAAUUUAGCUAGCUAGCCCCAGUCUCUCAUAAUUCUUCAUAGCUAGCUAAAUUACAGACCGUGAUGACGUAGCCGACGUGAAUAGCCACCCACUUUAUAAUUUGUAUGGAGUUAAAUAAGAAAAAACAAGCAGAAUAAAUACAUUUCAAAUUAAAUUCAAUUGACUACAUGGGAAUGAACCGGAGCGAUUCUCGAACUUUGACGCUGCUGCAGAACGGGACGUGAUGGGCAGUGGAGUCGCUGUCCUUCCCUCCUUCAGCGUCUGCCGGCCAGUCGCUUCGGCUGCCUCGUACUGUCGGUCUCUCUCGCUCACACACAAUUCUUCCUCUGUAAAUUCUGCUCAAGGUUGUAUUUCUUUGUCAAAAUCUAAAAGCUCUUCCUCUAAAUCGGCGAAAUCAGAACGGUCUGCCAUAUCGCUCAGACUAGCCAAGUUAGGU